UAUAAUUUUGACUAUUCUUCUUAUUUAAAAUAUCUGUAUGAUUAAUAUUUUUAUUGCUACUAGAUAAUAAAACAUGAAUAAUAUUUUACGUGUGCCUAAUUUUUUUUGAGUUUUUUAAUUAAUUUUUAAGUAAGACGGGUGGUCAAAUGCUAUACAC
Molecule: microRNA precursor, 157 nt
Filed under: Oryza brachyantha (malo sina)
Lineage: Eukaryota; Viridiplantae; Streptophyta; Magnoliopsida; Poales; Poaceae
Description: MIR812 microRNA precursor family
Rfam family: MIR812 microRNA precursor family
Source: Rfam by way of RNAcentral